Molecule: unclassified non-coding RNA, 221 nt
Filed under: Ficinia indica
Lineage: Eukaryota; Viridiplantae; Streptophyta; Magnoliopsida; Poales; Cyperaceae
Description: partial external transcribed spacer 1f
Source: RNAcentral
ACUGUCAUGGGGCUGUCUUUUCAUUGUCCAUUUGCCUAGUAAUUUGCUAGUUAUGGAUGAUUUCCAUCGGUCGCCUGUAUGGUUCUACUCUUUUGGGUAGUGCAUGAUUGUUUUGUUGACGCUUAUUUAGCCUGCUCUGUUAAUGUUAUUGUUGACAGGACGGCCGAGAUGUCAGCGAAUUUCAAGUGCUUCCAUGUGCGUAGCCAUGGUAAUGCACUGGA